GAGUAACGCGUAUGCAACCUACCUAUCAGAGGGGAAUAACCCGGCGAAAGUCGGACUAAUACCGUAUAAAACAGGGGCACCGCAUGGUGAUAUUGUUAAAGAAAUUCGCUGAUAGAUGGGCAUGCGUUCCAUUAGGUAGUUGGUGAGGUAACGGCUCACCAAGCCGACGAUGGAUAGGGAACUGAGAGGUUGGUCCCCCACACUGGUACUGAGACACGGACCAGACUCCUACGGGAGGCAGCAGUGAGGAAUAUUGGUCAAUGGGCGGGAGCCUGAACCAGCCAAGUCGCGUGAAAAGGAAGAAGGAUCUAUGGUUCGUAAACUUCUUUUGCAGGGGAAUAAAGUGCAGGACGUGUCCUGUUUUGUAUGUACCCUGAGAAUAAGGAUCGGCUAACUCCGUGCCAGCAGCGGC
Molecule: ribosomal RNA, 412 nt
Filed under: uncultured bacterium
Lineage: Bacteria
Description: bacterial SSU rRNA
Rfam family: Bacterial small subunit ribosomal RNA
Source: RNAcentral